UUAGCGCCUUCUCCAAGAGAGGAAAUGUGGACAAUAGUGUUAAAUGCAAUUGUGCAGAUCUUUUCCAGAGACUGUUUAGCCAAGCCCAUUCUUUACAAAGCAACUGACAGCUUUUGAGGUGUGGCUAGCCCAUGGCACCGAACAUAAGAAACCACCAGAACAGCUACCAGUAGUUCUUCAGUCUUGUCAGGUAGAUCUGGUGAAAGAUGGUGGUCA
This is a long non-coding RNA of Zingiber officinale, 216 nucleotides long. RefSeq lists it as uncharacterized. The transcript has 3 exons. Lineage: Eukaryota; Viridiplantae; Streptophyta; Magnoliopsida; Zingiberales; Zingiberaceae. The record is from RefSeq and is a predicted model, not a curated record.